Molecule: non-coding RNA, 1443 nt
Organism: Podarcis lilfordi (Lilford's wall lizard)
Lineage: Eukaryota; Metazoa; Chordata; Lepidosauria; Squamata; Lacertidae
Source: the annotation of a GenBank genome assembly
AUGGAUCGUCCGGCAGCCGGCUUGGGGGCCAUGAUGGACUUUAUCUCCCUGGCAGUAUCCCAACAUGCUCAGAACAGGUGAGGGUCACAGGCCUCAUCCAGCCCAGAUGCUGCAAUCAACAUGCAAGGUAUAAAAGGGAAGCAGAGCUGAGGGGCUGGGACUGCUCAACUCCCCAUGUUGAUGGCAUGGGUGUAAGCAGGAUUUAUGCUGGGGGGGGGGGCAGAACCUCAGUUAGUUAAGUAUUUGCACUGAUUUACUUGAUGGGGGGAGCGGCAGCAAUCUAUAUUGAGGGUAUAUCUGCAACAGAGACGUGGAAUUUCAGUGGCAGUUUCCCUCUGUUUGGUAUUUGUUAGCCGGUCACCUGCUUACAAACUAUUUUUAAGUGUUGCCAGCCUCAUAAGAAAUGAAACAUCAAAGUAGAUUUCAUCACAUUGCUAGUUGAAGCCAGCGAUAUCUUAUGGAAAAUCACUAGAGCACACGUAUUAAAGGACUUCAGGGGAGAUAGAUUAGAGAGCAAAACCCAAGGUACAAAGGCAUUUUGGACACAUUAUGCAUUUCUGGAAGAAAAUCUGGAAAAGGCAUACAUUUUUAUGAACUUUUUGUUCAUUUGGCACAAAGAAUUUGCUGAUUUAUUGAAGUCAAUGCAUGUAGUUUUCUGCCUCCUGUUUCCCUUUCCUCCAACUCACUUCUCCUUUAUCUACCCUUUUGUCAGAUUCUUAUCUCUUAGUCACUGACCUAUUCUGCCUCUUCCCUCAGCCACACUGCUUUUGGACACCUUAUCCCUUAGCUUCUGUAUCUGAGGUUCCUGCUUCCAGGGGGUUGGAUUGGAUGACCCCUGGGGUCCCUGCCAGCACUAUGACUCUAUGAUCUUCUUGGGACACUCUCCUGUCUCCCCACCCCCACCCCCCACCGGGCCCAGUUCUCAGCCAGCCCAUCUUUUGAACCCAUAUGAAGUUUUCAUCCCAGCCAUACUGGCAACUUUCUAUUGCCUCAGAGAAAGUGGACUGCAAACAUUCCACACCACAACACCAUUCAGUAUCCAAGCCUUCACCACCACAAGUGCAACACAAUAUAGAAUCUAUAUUACAUUAUAGACUAAUCUCAGAAUGACUUUUCUAUUUUUCUCUUGCUCCCCAAGUGCAAUGUUUACUCCUGACUAAUGUAUCAACAGUAAAUCCUGUAGCCAGCAAUUAUGCAAUAAACAAUAAAGGAAAAUAUAAAUAAAUGUUUGAACAAUCUCAUAAUCUUUCUCUUAGGCACCACAAAUUAUCCAGCCCAACAGAGCAAGUUCCUCACAAUCAAAAUGGUGAACUCGAUUCUGACCUCACCAUUAUUUAAAUCGCAAGGCAUGUCGAUUGUCUACACCUGAUUUACAUAGCUGUAAAACCAGAGAAGCAGUCAUCAGAAUAUGACCCAAAAUUGUUUCUGUUUUUAUACACAGGA